This 253-nucleotide ribosomal RNA is filed under the name uncultured bacterium. RNAcentral's name for it is "partial 16S ribosomal RNA". It matches the Rfam family "Bacterial small subunit ribosomal RNA", at positions 524 to 776 of the family's 1533-position model. The record is from RNAcentral.
UACGUAGGUGGCAAGCGUUGUCCGGAUUUACUGGGCGUAAAGAGCGCGCAGGCGGUCGUACAAGUCGCGUGUGAAAGCCCCCGGCUCAACUGGGGAGGGUCACGCGAUACUGUUCGACUCGAAGGCAGGAGAGGGAAGUGGAAUUCCGGGUGUAGUGGUGAAAUGCGUAGAUAUCCGGAGGAACACCGGUGGCGAAGGCGGCAUCCUGGACCACGACUGACGCUGAGGAGCGAAAGCCAGGGGAGCAAACGGG